Molecule: ribosomal RNA, 497 nt
Filed under: uncultured bacterium
Lineage: Bacteria
Description: partial 16S ribosomal RNA
Rfam family: Bacterial small subunit ribosomal RNA
Source: RNAcentral
GAUGAACGCUGGCGGCGUGCCUAAUACAUGCAAGUCGAGCGAACAGAUAGGGAGCUUGCUCCUUUGACGUUAGCGGCGGACGGGUGAGUAACACGUGGAUAACCUACCUAUAAGACUGGGAUAACUUCGGGAAACCGGAGCUAAUACCGGAUAACAUAUUGAACCGCAUGGUUCAAUAGUGGAAGGCGGCUUUGCUGUCACUUAUAGAUGGAUCCGCGCCGUAUUAGCUAGUUGGUAAGGUAACGGCUUACCAAGGCAACGAUACGUAGCCGACCUGAGAGGGUGAUCGGCCACACUGGAACUGAGACACGGUCCAGACUCCUACGGGAGGCAGCAGUAGGGAAUCUUCCGCAAUGGGCGAAAGCCUGACGGAGCAACGCCGCGUGAGUGAUGAAGGUCUUCGGAUCGUAAAACUCUGUUAUCAGGGAAGAACAAAUGUGUAAGUAACUGUGCACAUCUUGACGGUACCUGAUCAGAAAGCCACGGCUAACUACGUG